UGGGGAAUAUUGGACAAUGGGCGGAAGCCUGAUCCAGCCAUGCCGCGUGUGUGAAGAAGGCCUUUUGGUUGUAAAGCACUUUAAGCGAGGAGGAGGCUACUUGGAUUAAUACUCUAGGAUAGUGGACGUUACUCGCAGAAUAAGCACCGGCUAACUCUGUGCCAGCAGCCGCGGUAAUACAGAGGGUGCGAGCGUUAAUCGGAUUUACUGGGCGUAAAGCGUGCGUAGGCGGCUUCUUAAGUCGGAUGUGAAAUCCCUGAGCUUAACUUAGGAAUUGCAUUCGAUACUGGAAAGCUAGAGUAUGGGAGAGGAUGGUAGAAUUCCAGGUGGAGCGGUGAAAUGCGUAGAGAUCUGGAGGAAUACCGAUGGCGAAGGCAGCCAUCUGGCCUAAUACUGACGCUGAGGUACGAAAGCAUGGGGAGCAAACAGG
This 430-nucleotide ribosomal RNA is filed under the name bacterium. RNAcentral's name for it is "partial 16S ribosomal RNA". It matches the Rfam family "Bacterial small subunit ribosomal RNA", at positions 355 to 776 of the family's 1533-position model. The record is from RNAcentral.